RNAcentral lists this ribosomal RNA (804 nucleotides) under uncultured Acinetobacter sp. Its description in RNAcentral is "partial 16S ribosomal RNA". The record is from RNAcentral. Lineage: Bacteria; Pseudomonadati; Pseudomonadota; Gammaproteobacteria; Moraxellales; Moraxellaceae.
GUUAGCUGCGCCACUAAAGCCUCAAAGGCCCCAACGGCUAGUAGACAUCGUUUACGGCAUGGACUACCAGGGUAUCUAAUCCUGUUUGCUCCCCAUGCUUUCGUACCUCAGCGUCAGUAUUAGGCCAGAUGGCUGCCUUCGCCAUCGGUAUUCCUCCAGAUCUCUACGCAUUUCACCGCUACACCUGGAAUUCUACCAUCCUCUCCCAUACUCUAGCUUUCCAGUAUCGAAUGCAAUUCCUAAGUUAAGCUCAGGGAUUUCACAUCCGACUUAAAAAGCCGCCUACGCACGCUUUACGCCCAGUAAAUCCGAUUAACGCUCGCACCCUCUGUAUUACCGCGGCUGCUGGCACAGAGUUAGCCGGUGCUUAUUCUGCGAGUAACGUCCACUCACUUUAGGUAUUAACUAAAGGAGCCUCCUCCUCGCUUAAAGUGCUUUACAACCAAAAGGCCUUCUUCACACACGCGGCAUGGCUGGAUCAGGCUUGCGCCCAUUGUCCAAUAUUCCCCACUGCUGCCUCCCGUAGGAGUCUGGGCCGUGUCUCAGUCCCAGUGUGGCGGAUCAUCCUCUCAGACCCGCUACAGAUCGUCGCCUUGGUAGGCCUUUACCCCACCAACUAGCUAAUCCGACUUAGGCUCAUCUAUUAGCGCAAGGUCCGAAGAUCCCCUGCUUUCCCCCGUAGGGCGUAUGCGGUAUUAGCAUUCCUUUCGGAAUGUUGUCCCCCACUAAUAGGCAGAUUCCUAAGCAUUACUCACCCGUCCGCCGCUAGGUCAGUUACCGAAGCAACCUCCCCCGCUCGACUUG